UUUAAAGAGAGUUUGAUCCUGGCUCAGGACGAACGCUGGCGGCGUGCCUAAUACAUGCAAGUCGAACGAACGGAGGAAGAGCUUGCUCUUCCAAAGUUAGUGGCGGACGGGUGAGUAACACGUGGGCAACCUGCCUGUAAGUUGGGGAUAACUCCGGGAAACCGGGGCUAAUACCGAAUGAUAAGCAGUGACGCAUGUCACUGCUUUGAAAGAUGGUUUCGGCUAUCGCUUACAGAUGGGCCCGCGGUGCAUUAGCUAGUUGG
This 263-nucleotide ribosomal RNA is filed under the name Listeria seeligeri. RNAcentral describes it as "partial 16S ribosomal RNA". It matches the Rfam family "Bacterial small subunit ribosomal RNA", at positions 1 to 252 of the family's 1533-position model. Lineage: Bacteria; Bacillati; Bacillota; Bacilli; Caryophanales; Listeriaceae. The record is from RNAcentral.